GUGGGGAAUAUUGCACAAUGGGCGGAAGCCUGAUGCAGCGACGCCGCGUGAGGGAUGACGGCCUUCGGGUUGUAAACCUCUUUCACCAAGGACGAAGCGGGAGUGACGGUACUUGGGGAAGAAGCACCGGCUAACUACGUGCCAGCAGCCGCGGUAAUACGUAGGGUGCGAGCGUUGUCCGGAAUUAUUGGGCGUAAAGAGCUCGUAGGCGACUCGUUGCGUCUACCGUGAAAACUGGAGGCUUAACCUUCAGCUUGCGGUGGAUACGGGCGGGCUUGAGUUCGGUAGGGGAGACUGGAAUUCCUGGUGUAGCGGUGAAAUGCGCAGAUAUCAGGAGGAACACCGGUGGCGAAGGCGGGUCUCUGGGCCGAUACUGACGCUGAGGAGCGAAAGAGUGGGGAGCGAACAGGAUUAGAUACCCUGGUAGUCC
RNAcentral lists this ribosomal RNA (430 nucleotides) under uncultured bacterium. RNAcentral's name for it is "bacterial SSU rRNA". It matches the Rfam family "Bacterial small subunit ribosomal RNA", at positions 354 to 796 of the family's 1533-position model. The record is from RNAcentral.